This is a non-coding RNA of Schizosaccharomyces pombe (fission yeast), 541 nucleotides long. Lineage: Eukaryota; Fungi; Ascomycota; Schizosaccharomycetes; Schizosaccharomycetales; Schizosaccharomycetaceae. The record is from the annotation of a GenBank genome assembly.
UUUGCAAGUCGUUCAGCCUUUUCGAAAGCUUGUUCAAGAUAAGAAUCAAAGAAGGGAUCAGAUGAAGGACUUGAAGUGCUAACGGCUGCAGAACAAGGUAGCCAUGUAGAACGUUGAGAUGCCGAUGGCUGAGCUAAGGGUUGGUCAGUUAGAGAGUUGGGAAGAUCGUUUGCAAAAUAUUUUUGAGAAUUAGUAAAGUUUGAAAUAUGUGAGGAUUGAGUAGGAGCAGAAGUAACGGAGGACGAAGCAAAGUUAGAAGUUAGAAUAUUAAAAUCGCGUGCCCAAUGCGUAUUAGAAAUUUCGGACGAAUUCAUAUUGAAAGACAGUUGGCUUGGCUUUAAAAAAGCAUUUUUUCCUUGUCGAAGUACGGAAGGUUGAGAUGUUGAAGAAUGCUGGAAAGAUUGGUACUCAUUAUUGAGAACAUUUUGGGGAACAAAAUUGCGAUUGCUUGAAGACGCAUAUGAUACAUUAUUAUUCGAUGAUUGGGAUAAAUUCCGGAAACAAAAGUUAGAAGAUUUUGAGUCAGCUGCGACAAGCUGCU